Molecule: ribosomal RNA, 438 nt
Filed under: uncultured bacterium
Lineage: Bacteria
Description: bacterial SSU rRNA
Rfam family: Bacterial small subunit ribosomal RNA
Source: RNAcentral
AACGCGAAGAACCUUACCAGGUCUUGACAUCCUCUUGAAUACUUUAGAGAUAGAGUAGGCUUUCGGGACAAGAGAGACAGGUGGUGCAUGGUUGUCGUCAGCUCGUGUCGUGAGAUGUUGGGUUAAGUCCCGCAACGAGCGCAACCCUUGAUCUUAGUUGCCAGCAUUCGGUUGGGCACUCUAGGAUGACUGCCGGUGACAAACCGGAGGAAGGUGGGGAUGACGUCAAAUCAUCAUGCCCCUUAUGACCUGGGCUACACACGUACUACAAUGGCCGGUACAACGGGGUGCAAUACCGCGAGGUGGAGCGAAUCCUUAAAAGCCGGUCUCAGUUCGGAUUGCAGGCUGCAACUCGCCUGCAUGAAGUCGGAAUUGCUAGUAAUCGCGGAUCAGCAUGCCGCGGUGAAUACGUUCCCGGGCCUUGUACACACCGCACGA